RNAcentral lists this ribosomal RNA (451 nucleotides) under uncultured bacterium. Its description in RNAcentral is "partial 16S ribosomal RNA". It matches the Rfam family "Bacterial small subunit ribosomal RNA", at positions 354 to 796 of the family's 1533-position model. The record is from RNAcentral.
GUGGGGAAUAUUGGACAAUGGGGGGAACCCUGAUCCAGCCAUGCCGCGUGUGUGAAGAAGGCCUUUUGGUUGUAAAGCACUUUAAGUGAGGAGGAGGCUACCGAGAUUAAUACUCUUGGAUAGUGGACGUUACUCGCAGAAUAAGCACCGGCUAACUCUGUGCCAGCAGCCGCGGUAAUACAGAGGGUGCAAGCGUUAAUCGGAUUUACUGGGCGUAAAGCGCGCGUAGGUGGCCAAUUAAGUCAAAUGUGAAAUCCCCGAGCUUAACUUGGGAAUUGCAUUCGAUACUGGUUGGCUAGAGUAUGGGAGAGGAUGGUAGAAUUCCAGGUGUAGCGGUGGAAUGCGUAGAGAUCUGGAGGAAUACCGAUGGCGAAGGCAGCCAUCUGGCCUAAUACUGACACUGAGGUGCGAAAGCAUGGGGAGCAAACAGGAUUAGAUACCCGAGUAGUCC